Molecule: non-coding RNA, 1188 nt
Organism: Rattus norvegicus (Norway rat)
Lineage: Eukaryota; Metazoa; Chordata; Mammalia; Rodentia; Muridae
Source: RefSeq, a predicted model, not a curated record
GUAAUAAGAGAUCGUUUAUUCUGGAGUCAUUUUGCGUGACCAUGGCCCAGGAAAACAGAUUUAGGCUACCCUAAGGUCCGCGUUUCAAUGGACCUGGAAGCAGUUUCAUAAAUUUUUCUGGUUUCACCAAGCAAAGAAAGGCAUAAAUCAACGCAAGUUUAAAGUGCAUUGGGUACAUCGAGAUAAAGCUUUUCUUUUUCUACAGCCCAAGAGGCUAUGUGAGCUUUGGGGUUGGUGGAAGUCAGUGGCCUGAUAAUAGAUUCUACAAGAUCCCGCCCUUCCCUAGGGCAGUUAACAGUCUCCAGAGAGAGAGGCUCCUCGGGCCAAGAAAACUGACAGUUAAGGCUGUUGGGACUUUUGAUUUUCCUUCAGUGGUGCGGCCGCCCAUAAAGUUCCCGUGUUUCUGUGAGUCACUAAUUACUCUUCCAAGUUAGACUUGACUGAGCUAAGUUCUUCGGACGACCGUGGGUUCCGUGUCGAGGGUGAAAAAAACAUUUAUUUAGCUUCCGGGAAGAGUUGACGCAAUCGUGCCACAUUCAAGACAGGUAGGGCAUCCACCCUCCUAUCUUUUGGAUCUUGGAGGUCAGGUUCCGAAUUUUAGGGGCGUCAGGAUUUGGUGGGAAGAGAAGGCAUCCCCCUUCGCCUGGGAAGUAUUCUAGCUCCUAGCCAGUUCCGCCCCGCUUCCACUGAGAGGGCUCCGACGUGCUAUGGCUUCGCUCUUUGGUGGAGACUCAUGGGCUCUGGUACCCAGUAGUGUGGAUAGGAAGAUCCUGAGUCCCAGAAAUGAUGAAUGAGGGGAUUCCAGUCUCAAGCAAGUGAUCCUUGGUGUGCUCGGUUCCUCUCUCUCCUCAGGGCAGAUUUAAUUGCCCUGAAUUUUCUAAUUCUUUGCAGCGGAGUCUCAAAUCCGCAGAGACGUGUUUCCUUCUUAUUGGGGUUUGAAUGCUUUGGUGGUUCAAGUACAAGAGGAGAGGUGUGAUCCUCUCUGAACUGGCUUCAGUGAGAGAACUGUGCAAUGAAUUCAUGACAAAGACCACGUAGCCUACAGUUGAAGGUCACCAUGGAAGGUUUUCAUUCUAGACUUCGUCUCCUUUUAGAAAAUUAGAGUAUGAACACUGAAGCUCGAGUUCACUUUUCAAAACAAUUAAAUAAAAACUUUUGUCAGAAUUCAUAUAACAUUUUGACAAAGAA